RNAcentral lists this ribosomal RNA (487 nucleotides) under uncultured bacterium. RNAcentral's name for it is "partial 16S ribosomal RNA". It matches the Rfam family "Bacterial small subunit ribosomal RNA", at positions 28 to 507 of the family's 1533-position model. The record is from RNAcentral.
GAUGAACGCUAGCGAUAGGCUUAACACAUGCAAGUCGAGGGGCAGCACAAGGUAGCUUGCUAUCUGGGUGGCGACCGGCGCACGGGUGCGUAACGCGUAUGCAACUUGCCCUAUACAGGAGGAUAACCCGUCGAAAGACGGACUAAUACUGCGUAUGCUCACAACUUGGCAUCAAGUGGUGAGGAAAGAAAUUCGGUAUAGGAUAGGCAUGCGUCCCAUUAGCUUGUUGGUGAGGUAACGGCUCACCAAGGCAACGAUGGGUAGGGGAACUGAGAGGUUUAUCCCCCACACUGGUACUGAGACACGGACCAGACUCCUACGGGAGGCAGCAGUGAGGAAUAUUGGUCAAUGGGCGCGAGCCUGAACCAGCCAAGUCGCGUGAAGGAGGACUGUCUUAUGGAUUGUAAACUUCUUUUAUACGGGAAUAACAAGAGUCACGGGUGACUCCCUGCAUGUACCGUAUGAAUAAGCAUCGGCUAACUCCGUG